This 794-nucleotide unclassified non-coding RNA is filed under the name Hevea brasiliensis (rubber tree). Lineage: Eukaryota; Viridiplantae; Streptophyta; Magnoliopsida; Malpighiales; Euphorbiaceae. The record is from RNAcentral.
GGUGAUGUUUUGGUGAUUAUGGAUCUGCGACCAGAUGAAUCAUUGUAUGAGGCUGGUGUUGCUCGUGAGUUAGUUAAUAGAAUCCAGAAGUUGCGGAAAAAGGUUGCCCUUGAACCUACAGAUCUGGUAGAUGUUUAUUUUGAAUCUUUGGAUGAAGAUAAGUCAAAGUUAGAACGAGUUCUGAAUUCACAGGAACAAUAUAUUAGGGAUGCAAUUGGAUCUCCAUUACUUUCCUCUAUUUUGAUGCCACCACAAGCAGUCAUAAUUGGGGAGGAGAGUUACCAUCAGAUUUAUGAAUUAUCUUUCACUAUUUACUUGGCUAGAGCUGCUUUAGUGUUCAAAUCAGAUGCUAUCCUCGCAUUAUAUGCUGGAAAUACAAAAUUUGCACAAGGUCUGGAGACUUACCUGUUAUCUAGGGAUCAUUCUAAUUUGAGAUCAGAAUUUCAACUCAACAAUGGCAAGAUAACAGUUGAUGGCAUUGAAAAGCAGCCUUCUGUCAAUGUGGUAUUGGGAGAACAUUUAUUUUUGAGUGUUGGCGACUACUUCUUGAGAACAAAAAGUGGGUAAACUAAUUCCUAUGAUAGAUUUUUCCCCUUUUUGGGGGUUGACUUUAGUGAUAAUUUACCUGUGGUAAGAAUGCAAAUUGAAACUGAUUGCAUAGUAGUAGGUGCAGAAGGUAUAGUUAUUUGUUUUUUGUACAGAUACAGGUAAUUAUUAUUCAUUAUGAUCAAUUUUGUGUAGAAAACCAGUGCCAGAUUAUAUAUUUGAAGUGUUUUACAUAGUUUUUUUUUUUU